This 292-nucleotide ribosomal RNA is filed under the name uncultured bacterium. RNAcentral describes it as "partial 16S ribosomal RNA". It matches the Rfam family "Bacterial small subunit ribosomal RNA", at positions 505 to 796 of the family's 1533-position model. The record is from RNAcentral.
GUGCCAGCAGCCGCGGUAAUACAGAGGGUGCGAACGUUGCUCGGAAUUACUGGGCGUAAAGCGCGUGUAGGCGGGAUGAUAAGUCGGAAGUGAAAUCCCUGGGCUCAACCCAGGAACUGCUUUCGAAACUGUCGUCCUCGAGUACCGGAGAGGGUGGCGGAAUUCCUGGUGUAGAGGUGAAAUUCGUAGAUAUCAGGAGGAACACCGGUGGCGAAGGCGGCCACCUGGACGGUUACUGACGCUGAGACGCGAAAGCGUGGGGAGCAAACAGGAUUAGAAACCCGCGUAGUCC